UACAGAGGUCUCGAGCGUUGUUCGGAUUCAUUGGGCGUAAAGGGUGCGUAGGCGGCGUGGCAAGUCUGAUGUGAAAUCCCGGGGCUCAACCCCGGAACUGCAUUGGAUACUGCCAUGCUAGAGUACUGGAGAGGAGAUUGGAAUUUACGGUGCAGUAGUGAAAUGCGUAGAUAUCGUAAGGAAGACCAGUGGCGAAGGCGAAUCUCUGGACAGUUACUGACGCUGAGGCACGAAGGCCAGGGGAGCAAACGGG
Molecule: ribosomal RNA, 253 nt
Filed under: uncultured bacterium
Lineage: Bacteria
Description: partial 16S ribosomal RNA
Rfam family: Bacterial small subunit ribosomal RNA
Source: RNAcentral